ACUAAAGACUUUAAAGACUUUUUGCCUAUAAACCGUACACGACCAGGCCUAAAUCGGAAAGCCCAAAACCAAACUCCGUACUUCCCAAUUUGUUUCGAAGUACAAUUGCACAAUUCAACUGUUAAUAAUGGGGACUGCCAGUUUACCAUUAUCCCAGUUCAAACACGUCGCCUCCCGCCUUCUUGGUGAUCUCCGCCAGUUCUCGUCUUCCGUCGCUCUGAUCCGAAGAGCCUGGACUCUCUUCCCGGAGGAGCCCGAACCCGUAGAACCGGACGCCAGAAGCUUCUUUACGGGCUCGCCCUAAAGUACCAGCGACCCGUAGAUGAAAUCUUGAUCAACUCUGUAAGCUUAAUUGGUACUGUAGACUGCCCUUUUGAAAAAAUUCAAUACUACCAAAAUUUUGGUGUCCAUACUAUUCUCAUUGUCAAAGCUUCCUCUAGCUCGUACCGCUACUUGAAAGUAAGGACUCCAUUAAUAUUUGUCUCUGAUUAUAGUUUAGUUUUUAUUUUUUCAAUUUUUUGUUUUCCCUGAAUGCGUGCGCGAGCGUGCGCGAGCUUUGUAGCGAUUUUAGGCUAGCGAUGGACGUAUUUAUACAAAUACUGUACAGCUACAGCUGAAAAUGUGGGAUGAAAUUGCGGAAAUAUUGGUCCAGCAUCUGAAGCCGAAAGAUUUAAUUUUUGUUUCAGGUUUGAAAUGCUAUUUUUUUAACACUUGUCAAGUGACUGGCAUAGCUUUUUCUUUGUGCAAUAUAUAUCUAUUGGAAUUUAGAACCUUACAAUCUUGGGACCUAGUUGUUUAAUUAUAUUUUUAUUCUUGCACUGAGGCUAUUUUGCCAAAUGCCAACAUGUACUACUUCUAUGAGUUGUACCCCCAUGCUCUCCCCCCCCCCCCUUUUGUCAUGAAGGAAUUCCAUGUUAGUGUAACAUGGAGUGCUUAUAUUCCUGUAGGGUGGUAUUUGUCCUUCAAAUCAAGUUAUAAGAAACUUGUCUUGUUCUGAGGAACUGGGGAGAUAAAUCUCAUUCCUAUAGCACGUAUAUUAGCAAUGUCGUGUUCUCAAAUUUGUGUGAGUUCUCAUCUUACCAGGGUCCAUUUGUGUUUGUUCAAAAUUUACUUUUUGUUUGGUGGAAUAAAAACGAGACCUUUAAUUGAAAUUCAGAAAAGAAGUGAGUUAAUAUAUAACUGGAUUUUUUCAAAUACCAGUUCCAAGCCUCAAACUUCGCGUCGUGAAACGUAGUUGAAGUGUUCUCUAUUAGUUUCUGUUAUUAGUAAUAAUACAUUGAAAUGAGUUCUUGGUAUCAAUUUAUAUUUUUAUUAAAUGAAUCAACUUAAUAUAUAGGGCCUGUUUGUGCCCUCUUUAAUUUUAAAAAAGUAUAUUAUGGAAUAGUGAUUGAUGUUAAAAUAUGUGGUUGAAAAAGAAGGAAAUUUUUUUAUUUAUAUAUAAUAUUAUUUUAAUGAAAAAUGUGUGGUUGAAAAUGAUUACCGUAGAAAAAAUAAUAUGGUAGAAUGGUUGACAAACAAAGACAUAUCAUUGUCAUUACUAUUCAAGUGAAGUUGCUAGUAUCAGUUAUAUGAGGAAACGAAGCAGUUGGAUAAAAUUUAGUUAUAAAAAAAAUGUAAUAGAAAAAUGAAAUUUUAUCAUAAUAUUGGUUAUUAUGUUUUAUAAAUUCCCAAGAAUCUUUAUUAUAAUAUACACCCAUAUUAUUCAUAAAAAUUUCGCAGCUAUGCAUAUAGAGAUGCUUGUUUUAAAUUUCUGUCAGCAGGAUAUGUUGAUAUAUCGAAAUUCUAAUAUUUAAAUAUUUUCUAUGUAGGGACAGGUUGAGGAGAUGAAUUUUGUUGCUCAAAAUUGUCUAGCCACAGUUUGCAAGUAAUCAAAGAAAUUGGAAUCAGGAGGUAGAAAACUUCCUUCUAUUUUUAGCUUUGGUGGUAACGUCCGGCAAGUAAAGCGCCGCUUGUAUAUUGCAUAAUAACUGUAAAUUAAUAUAAAUAUUUCUUGAGCUUUUAAGGGAAAAAGUGGAUCAAUUGAAGAUAUGACUUGCUGGAAAUUGGACGUCGUGGACCCAGUUCUACUUACCUAAAAGAUUAGCCUUAUAGGAGUAAAUAAUCAUGAAUAGUUGACCAUAGAGUUUUUGUUUUCAUUUCAAUAUUUCUUUUGUUUUCUUCUUCUUUAUUCUUUGGUUCUGUCCACCUAUCACCAUUUGAGCUAGAACUAGAAUGCUACAGUUCUUUUUUUUUUUUUUUUAAAUAACUUAAUGGAAGGGGCAAACAGUUGCUAAGUUAGAGGAGUAUUUCUAGAUAUGGUCUAGUAGUUCAGAAAUCAGAAUGAACUUUUUGCAAUUGAUGUAUGGACAAGGGUUUGUGAUAUAUGCAUUUUUGUUCAAUUAGCAGAUUAUGCACAGAAUAAACGACACAGACUCCAUUUAUGGAAAGUUUUCUUCGCCACCCUUAUGAGUGGUGGGAGGAUAAUAGGAAGAGUUAACCUCAGCCAAAUUAUCCAGACAUUAAGUACAAGGAUACCGGUGAGGUCCUUUGGCUCCAGGACAAUGAUCAUCAAUGGAUCGAACGACAACUCCAAUUGUAGGGUUAUAGAUCGAGGGAACGAAGUCCAGAAAACACAUUAGUCAUUGUGGGUUUAUGAGGAUGCCUAAGGAAUUGAAACUCAGGUACAGGUCUCAAGUAGUGAAAAUUAGAAACAAAUAUACUCUGUUCAAUUAUUUCCAAUAACCUAGAUUUCUGCAGCACGAGUCAUUUCUGAUGUUUGGAUCUUAUAGCUUCCCAUGGAUUAAGAUGGAAGCGACUGUGUAUCAAACUAAAAAUCGGGGCCAUAAUUAGGUCUUGCAACUUCAAGUCACUGAAAAAUUCUUAACUUCUCCUUCGGAUGAUAUACGGAACACAAUUUGUGUUGGAAAAGAAACAUACAGUGGUUAUUGACAGGCUGUUGGAAAAAUUUCAACGUAUGGGACCACACGUGUAUAUAUAUUAAAAUGUGUGGUGCUAUUUUAAAGUUAAUCAAUAAAGUGAUUUGUUAAAGUCAUUUUUUGGACUAAUGGGUGUUAAAUGUAAUGAGAAUAAGGUGUAGAGACCGAAAAAUGUUAUUUUAAAUUGAUGAGAGACAAAUUUGAAAUAACACAAAGAUAAUAAUUGCUUAAUGCAAUUAUUUAUCAUGGGGUCAUGGUCCCCAAUUGUACGUUAUUUCAUCUCUCUGCAUCCCUAUCAACAGAAAAGAAUUUUCAAGGAAUUACGUAACAAUUAGAAAAUCAUGACCCGUUCAAAACACUCAUAUCUGUUGAUUAAGGUACGCUUUCGCUUUUAAUCUUCUCUUUGAUUUCAACAUGGAGGAUCUAUGUACUUUUGUGUAAGGAUUUGACAAAAGUUUUGGUUCCUUUUCAAUUUCUACAAGUGGUAUCAGAGCACUCUAUUGUUGAAUCUUUGAGAAAUUGCAAGAAUUAGGGUUCUAACAGUUUUGUAUGUUGGGUUAUUUGAUCUUCUAUCAUAUGAUUAUAUGGAAUUUACUUCUUGCAAUAUUUUAAGAAUUUUAAGAAUUGACAAUUUUGAAUCUGUUUUUUGUUGAAUUUGAAAAUUCUUUGGCAUGUUGUUCAUGGUUAUCUUUGGAGAUUUUGAUUAUUAUUUUUUUUUUUUGGGAAAUUCGGUCUAUAGAUUUUUUGGGUUAAAAAAAAAAUAAAUAAAAUUUGAAAACCCAACUGGCCGAUGGCGAUUGUAGCCACCGGCAUUGCAGCAGCGCUCGGUGCUCUUGCCACCGGCUAGCAUCGCCAGAGAGAGAGAGAGCGAAUAUGGAUAGAUUUAUUGGGGCGGGGCCUAAGGUGCAAUUUUGGUAAUCUCAGGCCCUUACUUGCAAUAAAGAUUAAGGUUAGUUAUAUUUAAAAUAUAAUUUUACAUUUUAGUCCCUAAAGUUUGAAAUUUAUUCAAGUUGGACCUUUAAAGUUCUGGGUUUAAUAAUUCACUCCCCGAAGUUUGAAAAUUAUUUAAUUUGGGCCAUUAAAGUUUUGAAUUUGACAAUUAAUGCCCUCAAUGUUUAUAAUCAAUUAAAAUUGGUCCCCAAAGUUUUAAAAUUUUCAUUUUUUGACCCCUAAAGUUUUGAAUUAUUAACCCUUAGAUCCCAAAAGUUUCAAAGGACAUUUAAUGAUGCGAAAUUAGUGAUUCACUUUCUUAAAUUUUGGUACUAAGGACUCUCUUAAGAGGUAUAGUUGAGAUUUAAUUAUGUGGGACAAUCAAAUUCAGAUAUUUUGGUAAAUCAUUCAUGAAAAAUUAAGGUUAUAUAGCAUUUUAAAUAAACUAAUUGAAACAAUUUGUCACCAAAGUGACCUCUCUUGUGUAGAUUGAUUUGUUUAAGAUGUUUAGAUGUUAUAUGUGUGCUUGUUCAUGUGGGUAUUAGCCGGCUCGAAGGAAGGUUGAUAUUUGGCCAAAUUAUAUACAUACUCGUGGUGGUGAACGUGUAGCAAUUAUAAGGUUUCCAUGUAAAUAAUAAAUCAAUGCAAAGUUGGGUUAUUUGGCAGGAGUUAUUGUUAAUGUUUGAUCACUACAGAGAGAGUACCACUUGCAAUUAAUAUUACUGUCCGAAGACUUGAUAUUAAUGUUGCACUAGGUAUCUUGAGAUGAGGCUUACCAUUAUUUGAAUUUAUUGUUCAUUAAAUGUGGAUAUUGAUAUGAGCAUGAUUAUUUGUUUUUUUUUUUUUUUUUAUCUUUAUACAGUUAAUUCAUCUGCUACUACUACAUCUGUCAAUGUUAAUUCAAUUCCUAUACUUAAUGGGACAAACUUCAAUGAUUGAAAAGAGAACAUAUUGAUUGUUCUUGGCUGCAUGGAUCUAGACCUUGCUCUCCGGAUUGAGGAACUCACUCCUCUUACGGAAUAAAGUUCACCUGAUGAAAAGAUGAACUUUGAGAAGUGGGACCGCUCAAAUCACAUGAGUCGAAUGAUCAUUAAGCGCGACACUUUAGAAGCCUUUAGAGGUACAGUAUCCGAAGGGUUAACUAAUGCCAAGGAGUUCCUCGUCGAAAUUGAGAAGCGUUUUGCAAAAAACGAUUAGGCUGAAACAAGCACGCUUUUGCAAAAGCUUGAUUUCAAUGAAGUACAAAGGCAAGGGGAAUAUAAGGGAGUACAUCAUGGAGAUGUCUCACAUUGCUUCUAAACUUAAAGCGCUAAAGCUUGAGCUGUCUGAUAACUUGCUCAUAUAUUUGGUAUUGAUCUCGCUUACUGCACAAUUCAGUCAAUUUAAGGUCAGUUAUAACUGCUAGAAGGAGAAAUGGUCUUUAAAUAAGACUGGACCUGUGUAGAAGGACUGUACCAAAUAUCAUGCUUGACGUGCAAAG
RNAcentral lists this long non-coding RNA (5325 nucleotides) under Olea europaea subsp. europaea. The record is from RNAcentral. Lineage: Eukaryota; Viridiplantae; Streptophyta; Magnoliopsida; Lamiales; Oleaceae.